RNAcentral lists this ribosomal RNA (497 nucleotides) under uncultured bacterium. RNAcentral describes it as "partial 16S ribosomal RNA". It matches the Rfam family "Bacterial small subunit ribosomal RNA", at positions 28 to 507 of the family's 1533-position model. The record is from RNAcentral.
GAUGAACGCUGGCGGCGUGCCUAAUACAUGCAAGUCGAGCGAACGGACGAGAAGCUUGCUUCUCUGAUGUUAGCGGCGGACGGGUGAGUAACACGUGGAUAACCUACCUAUAAGACUGGGAUAACUUCGGGAAACCGGAGCUAAUACCGGAUAAUAUUUUGAACCGCAUGGUUCAAAAGUGAAAGACGGUCUUGCUGUCACUUAUAGAUGGAUCCGCGCUGCAUUAGCUAGUUGGUAAGGUAACGGCUUACCAAGGCAACGAUGCAUAGCCGACCUGAGAGGGUGAUCGGCCACACUGGAACUGAGACACGGUCCAGACUCCUACGGGAGGCAGCAGUAGGGAAUCUUCCGCAAUGGGCGAAAGCCUGACGGAGCAACGCCACGUGAGUGAUGAAGGUCUUCGGAUCGUAAAACUCUGUUAUUAGGGAAGAACAUAUGUGUAAGUAACUGUGCACAUCUUGACGGUACCUAAUCAGAAAGCCACGGCUAACUACGUG